Molecule: ribosomal RNA, 763 nt
Filed under: uncultured Streptococcus sp.
Lineage: Bacteria; Bacillati; Bacillota; Bacilli; Lactobacillales; Streptococcaceae
Description: bacterial SSU rRNA
Rfam family: Bacterial small subunit ribosomal RNA
Source: RNAcentral
GACGAACGCUGGCGGCGUGCCUAAUACAUGCAAGUAGAACGCUGAAGGAGGAGCUUGCUUCUCUGGAUGAGUUGCGAACGGGUGAGUAACGCGUAGGUAACCUGCCUGGUAGCGGGGGAUAACUAUUGGAAACGAUAGCUAAUACCGCAUAACAGUAGAUAUCGCAUGAUAGCUGCUUGAAAGGUGCAAUUGCACCACUACCAGAUGGACCUGCGUUGUAUUAGCUAGUUGGUGAGGUAACGGCUCACCAAGGCGACGAUACAUAGCCGACCUGAGAGGGUGAUCGGCCACACUGGGACUGAGACACGGCCCAGACUCCUACGGGAGGCAGCAGUAGGGAAUCUUCGGCAAUGGACGGAAGUCUGACCGAGCAACGCCGCGUGAGUGAGGAAGGUUUUCGGAUCGUAAAGCUCUGUUGUAAGAGAAGAACGAGUGUGAGAGUGGAAAGUUCACACUGUGACGGUAUCUUACCAGAAAGGGACGGCUAACUACGUGCCAGCAGCCGCGGUAAUACGUAGGUCCCGAGCGUUGUCCGGAUUUAUUGGGCGUAAAGCGAGCGCAGGCGGUUAGAUAAGUCUGAAGUUAAAGGCUGUGGCUUAACCAUAAUACGCUUUGGAAACUGUUUAACUUGAGUGCAAGAGGGGAGAGUGGAAUUCCAUGUGUAGCGGUGAAAUGCGUAGAUAUAUGGAGGAACACCGGUGGCGAAAGCGGCUCUCUGGCUUGUAACUGACGCUGAGGCUCGAAAGCGUGGGGAGCAAACAGG